GUUCUGAGCCCAAUGACCAGGGCCAGAGCAUCUGAGCGCUGCACUAGUGCCUGCCCUUCUUACCUGAGCACCUCUGGGCUAGAACUAACUCACAGAACCCACUCGGCUCCUCUCGUUUCACGCUCCAGCACUCUCUCCGUUCGGCAAGCCACAGGAGGGAUCAGCAGGAGUCCCGGCGGCGGAGCGAGGCACACCAUUAGCAGAGGAAAAUGAGCGAACUGGACCAGCUACGCCAGGAGGCCGAUCAGCUCAAGAACCAGAUCAAAGAUGCCAGGAAAGCGUGUGCGGAUGCUACCCUGUCUCAGAUCACAGCAAACAUCGACCCAGUUGGCCGAAUUCAGAUGCGCACUAGACGGACACUGAGGGGGCAUCUGGCAAAAAUCUAUGCCAUGCACUGGGGCACUGACUCGAGGCUUUUAGUCAGUGCCUCCCAGGAUGGUAAACUCAUUAUUUGGGAUAGCUACACCACAAACAAGGUCCACGCCAUCCCGCUGCGCUCCUCCUGGGUGAUGACUUGCGCUUACGCCCCCUCUGGGAACUACGUGGCCUGUGGUGGCCUGGACAACGUCUGCUCCAUCUACAACCUCAAGACCCGCGAGGGGAACGUGCGUGUCAGCCGUGAGCUGGCCGGACACACAGGUUACCUGUCCUGCUGUCGCUUCGUGGAUGACACCAAGAUCGUCACCAGCUCUGGAGAUACCACAUGUGCUCUCUGGGACAUUGAGACGGGCAUGCAGACGACCACGUUCGCCGGCCACACCGGCGAUGUCAUGAGCCUGUCGCUUGCGCCCGACACGCAGCUGUUUGUGUCCGGGGGCGUGCGACGCUUCCGCCAAGCUCUGGGACGUCAGAGAAGGAAUGUGCCGACAAACCUUCACCGGGCACGAGUCGGACAUUAAUGCCAUCUGCUUCUUCCCCAAUGGUAACGCCUUUGCCACGGGCUCAGACGACGCAACCUGCAGGCUCUUUGACCUGCGCGCCGACCAGGAGCUGAUGGUCUACUCCCAUGACAACAUUAUCUGUGGCAUCACCUCAGUGGCGUUCUCCAAGAGCGGCCGCCUGCUGCUCGCCGGCUACGACGACUUCAACUGCAACGUGUGGGAUAGCCUAAAGGCCGACCGUGCAGGUGUCCUGGCUGGACAUGACAACCGUGUCAGCUGCUUGGGUGUGACUGAUGACGGCAUGGCCGUGUCAACAGGGUCCUGGGACAGCUUCCUCAAGAUCUGGAACUAGAGUCUGAAGAUGGCAUCUGGACUCCGAAGUUGAGUGGAAGACUAUUCCAAAAUGUUCAAUUUUAUUGCAUAUCCAAUCUUCUCAAAACCAUGAAACUGACUCCAACCCCCAAAAACUACCAAGGGAAAAAUUAUCUCCUUCUCAUUUAAAAGAAGAGCACAAUUGUUUCACUCAACUAAAAAGAUGAGGAAUUUCAGUGGAAUGGAAUGGGGGAGAGAAUUGUGCAUUCGUCCUGGGACCAUUUUCUGAUAUUGUGUCAUAAGAAAAUACAUUCACCCCAUGCAAAUGUGUAAUCCAUCUUCAAUACACAGGUUUGAGUGAAGGUAAUCUACACAUCGGUGAUUUAACUCUUGAUAGCUUUUUGGUCAUGUUUAUUUUUCCCCCACCUUUAUUUUUGGUUCAGGGAACUAGAUCAGUGACCUGUUGGUAAAAUGAGGAUUGAGAGCUUUGUUUUGUCAGUCUUGAUAUAGUUUAGAGUCAAGUUUUGUAGGUUGGAAAUAAAAAUGACAAAUUAUCGUCAUCUUAAUCACAUCAGAAAAAAAGGCAAGAGAAUUGAGCUUCAGCAGGGAGUCGAGUCCAUGAGCCACCAACAGGAGGAUCUGGCCAUUCUGUAUAUUUAGUCCCAAGAUACUUCACUAUUUGUUUAUUUUUUUCUGUUUAGUCACAAAUGUUUGUUUGCACAAAUUUAAACUUUGCAUGUAUAGAAUAAUGUUUCAAGAAAAGUUAACUAACCAAGCAUAUUCUGUUUAUGAUAAUGAAUGCUCAUUUUCAAAAUGAAAACAAACAACAUUUUAACCAUUCUCUUCACCUUUUGUUGGGCGACAAUGUAGAAUAAUUAAAUGAAGAUUAACCCAUUGGUUCACUUUCUUCGUUUUAUUUCUGUUUUGUUACCCUUUUGAUGACCGUGGUUGCGACCGGAGAAGUGAUUUCGUUGGGUAGGGAGGCCUCUACUUAUUACCCCGGUUUCAUUCAACAGAGGUGCCCAUUCCGUGCUUGGAAAUGCAGUGACUACUCUAUGAAUGACAUGUUGUAUAAAUCAAUGUUUGAAAAUAAUGAUAAUGAAGCUUUUUAAGUUAAAAAAUAAAAUAAAAAAAUAUUUUGGCUUUCUGCCAUGGGUGGGUUAACUCUUAGAAUCGCAUGCUGUAGAAUUGCUUAAAAAGAGGUGCAUAUAGAACUAAGUCCUUUUGAUGUUUUUCUUUAAGAAAAUAACCUGUUAAAUAUAUCAUUACAAUGGUAUUUAUCUUGUUUUUGGCUACUCUGUGCAUACAUAAUUCAAUUAAAAUGUCAAUCCUAUGCACUUGAGAGAAGCAAACACCACAGCAUAACAAAUGGUUACCUGGUCUUACAAUAUCCAUUAUUGGGAUGGAUUCCUUGAUAAAAGUAAUGUAAACAUUUAAAACAUAUGCACACACAAAUGGAACAAAUACAUUUUCAUUCCUUCUGUAGCAAACAAAUUCCAGGGACAAAGAAAAUAAACAUUUUGUAACAAACAGGUUUUUCUCUGUCCUUUAAUAAUAAAAAAGAAAAAACUUGCAGCAUUUGAAUGACAGAAUUUUCUGUUCCCCUCCUUGUGUAAACACUUUCUUUAGCAGUAGUGGCAUUUUUACCCCCAUUCUGUUUUUUCUUUGCAAAAUUCUGUACAAAAAUGUGCUGUAUUUGUGCGUUAGGCCUGGAGUUGGCAACAAAGAAAAUCAAUACAGAAAUAUUAAAUAAAAUUCCUUUUUCUUUUCUUGCCAUGAAAUAACUGUAGAUCUCUGCACCCAGCUGUUCCCUUCUCACCUUUUGUAUUUAAAGUCAGUCAGUGUACAACCGAAAGCUGGCUGCAAGAUAGAAAUUAUAUUAAAAUGUACUGUUAUUUAAGAUUAAAUAAAAAGCAGUUUGAGAUC
Molecule: RNA transcript, 3119 nt
Organism: Oncorhynchus gorbuscha (pink salmon)
Lineage: Eukaryota; Metazoa; Chordata; Actinopteri; Salmoniformes; Salmonidae
Gene name: guanine nucleotide-binding protein G(I)/G(S)/G(T) subunit beta-1-like
Exons: 11
Source: RefSeq, a predicted model, not a curated record